RNAcentral lists this ribosomal RNA (728 nucleotides) under uncultured archaeon. Its description in RNAcentral is "bacterial SSU rRNA". It matches the Rfam family "Archaeal small subunit ribosomal RNA", at positions 71 to 801 of the family's 1478-position model. The record is from RNAcentral.
AGACCCUCGGGCGAACGGCUCAAUAACACGUGGAUAAUCUGCCCUUAGGACAGGGAUAACCCCGGGAAACUGGGGAUAAUACCUGAUAAGUGAGGAUGUCUGGAACGAUUCCCCGCUUAAAGCUCCGGCGCCUAAGGAUGAGUCUGCGGCUGAUUAGGUAGUUGGUGGUGUAACGGACCACCAAGCCCCAGAUCAGUACGGGCGUUGAGAGACGGAGCCCGGAGAUGGGGGCUGAAAUACGGCCCCAGGCCCUACGGGGCGCAGCAGGCGCGAAAACUCCGCAAUUCGCGAAAGCGUGACGGGGGAACUCCAAGUGCUGCAGCGUUAGCUGUAGCUUUUAUAAAGUGUAAACAUCUUUAUGAAUAAGGGCGGGGCAAGACCGGUGCCAGCCGCCGCGGUAACACCGGCCGCUCAAGUGGUGGCCGUUAUUAUUGGGCCUAAAGCGUCCGUAGCCUGUCUGAUAAGUCCUUGGGUAAAUCCUGACGCUUAACGUUAGGAAUUCUAGGGAUACUGCCAGACUCGAGGCCGAGAGAAGUCAGAGGUACUCUUGGGGUAGCGGUGAAAUGCUGUAAUCCUGAGGGGACCACCAGUGGCGAAGGCGUCUGACUAGAGCGGGCCUGACGGUGAGGGACGAAAGCCAGGGUCGCGAACGGGAUUAGAUACCCCGGUAGUCCUGGCCGUAAACGCUGCGCGCUAGGUGUUGCAUGCUCUACGGGGGCAUGCAGUGC